AAAUAAGAAGUAAAGUUUACAUUUAGUUUCGACCUAAAAAUUUGAUGAAUUAAAUCAUCCUUAUUUA
Molecule: transfer RNA, 67 nt
Filed under: Pterostichus oblongopunctatus
Lineage: Eukaryota; Metazoa; Arthropoda; Insecta; Coleoptera; Carabidae
Also listed under: 1 other name
Description: tRNA-Arg
Source: RNAcentral